This 1380-nucleotide ribosomal RNA is filed under the name Lactiplantibacillus plantarum. RNAcentral's name for it is "bacterial SSU rRNA". It matches the Rfam family "Bacterial small subunit ribosomal RNA", at positions 87 to 1453 of the family's 1533-position model. Lineage: Bacteria; Bacillati; Bacillota; Bacilli; Lactobacillales; Lactobacillaceae. The record is from RNAcentral.
UUGAGUGAGUGGCGAACUGGUGAGUAACACGUGGGAAACCUGCCCAGAAGCGGGGGAUAACACCUGGAAACAGAUGCUAAUACCGCAUAACAACUUGGACCGCAUGGUCCGAGUUUGAAAGAUGGCUUCGGCUAUCACUUUUGGAUGGUCCCGCGGCGUAUUAGCUAGAUGGUGGGGUAACGGCUCACCAUGGCAAUGAUACGUAGCCGACCUGAGAGGGUAAUCGGCCACAUUGGGACUGAGACACGGCCCAAACUCCUACGGGAGGCAGCAGUAGGGAAUCUUCCACAAUGGACGAAAGUCUGAUGGAGCAACGCCGCGUGAGUGAAGAAGGGUUUCGGCUCGUAAAACUCUGUUGUUAAAGAAGAACAUAUCUGAGAGUAACUGUUCAGGUAUUGACGGUAUUUAACCAGAAAGCCACGGCUAACUACGUGCCAGCAGCCGCGGUAAUACGUAGGUGGCAAGCGUUGUCCGGAUUUAUUGGGCGUAAAGCGAGCGCAGGCGGUUUUUUAAGUCUGAUGUGAAAGCCUUCGGCUCAACCGAAGAAGUGCAUCGGAAACUGGGAAACUUGAGUGCAGAAGAGGACAGUGGAACUCCAUGUGUAGCGGUGAAAUGCGUAGAUAUAUGGAAGAACACCAGUGGCGAAGGCGGCUGUCUGGUCUGUAACUGACGCUGAGGCUCGAAAGUAUGGGUAGCAAACAGGAUUAGAUACCCUGGUAGUCCAUACCGUAAACGAUGAAUGCUAAGUGUUGGAGGGUUUCCGCCCUUCAGUGCUGCAGCUAACGCAUUAAGCAUUCCGCCUGGGGAGUACGGCCGCAAGGCUGAAACUCAAAGGAAUUGACGGGGGCCCGCACAAGCGGUGGAGCAUGUGGUUUAAUUCGAAGCUACGCGAAGAACCUUACCAGGUCUUGACAUACUAUGCAAAUCUAAGAGAUUAGACGUUCCCUUCGGGGACAUGGAUACAGGUGGUGCAUGGUUGUCGUCAGCUCGUGUCGUGAGAUGUUGGGUUAAGUCCCGCAACGAGCGCAACCCUUAUUAUCAGUUGCCAGCAUUAAGUUGGGCACUCUGGUGAGACUGCCGGUGACAAACCGGAGGAAGGUGGGGAUGACGUCAAAUCAUCAUGCCCCUUAUGACCUGGGCUACACACGUGCUACAAUGGAUGGUACAACGAGUUGCGAACUCGCGAGAGUAAGCUAAUCUCUUAAAGCCAUUCUCAGUUCGGAUUGUAGGCUGCAACUCGCCUACAUGAAGUCGGAAUCGCUAGUAAUCGCGGAUCAGCAUGCCGCGGUGAAUACGUUCCCGGGCCUUGUACACACCGCCCGUCACACCAUGAGAGUUUGUAACACCCAAAGUCGGUGGGGUAACCUUUUAGGAACCAGC